UCCCUGAUGGCCCAGUGGUUAGGGUGCUGAGCUUCCACUGCAGGAGACAUGGGUUCGAUCCCUAGUCAGGGAA
RNAcentral lists this transfer RNA (73 nucleotides) under Bos taurus (domestic cattle). It matches the Rfam family "tRNA". From Rfam's summary of the family: Transfer RNA (tRNA) molecules are approximately 80 nucleotides in length. Their secondary structure includes four short double-helical elements and three loops (D, anti-codon, and T loops). Lineage: Eukaryota; Metazoa; Chordata; Mammalia; Artiodactyla; Bovidae. RNAcentral also lists the same sequence under 2 other names. The record is from Rfam by way of RNAcentral.